CGGAGGAUCCAAGCGUUAUCCGGAAUCAUUGGGUUUAAAGGGUCCGUAGGCGGUUUUGUAAGUCAGUGGUGAAAGCCCAUCGCUCAACGGUGGAACGGCCAUUGAUACUGCAAGACUUGAAUUACUAGGUAGUAACUAGAAUAUGUAGUGUAGCGGUGAAAUGCUUAGAUAUUACAUGGAAUACCAAUUGCGAAGGCAGGUUACUACUAGUGGAUUGACGCUGAUGGACGAAAGCGUGGGGAGCGAACAGGAUUAGAUACCCUGGUAGUCCACGCCGUAAACGAUGGAUACUAGCUGUUCGGAGCAAUCUGAGUGGCUAAGCGAAAGUGAUAAGUAUCCCACCUGGGGAGUACGUUCGCAAGAAUG
Molecule: ribosomal RNA, 366 nt
Filed under: uncultured organism
Description: bacterial SSU rRNA
Rfam family: Bacterial small subunit ribosomal RNA
Source: RNAcentral